This 1426-nucleotide long non-coding RNA is filed under the name Mus caroli (Ryukyu mouse). Its description in RNAcentral is "RIKEN cDNA 1700096K18 gene (MGP_CAROLIEiJ_G0005995.1)". Lineage: Eukaryota; Metazoa; Chordata; Mammalia; Rodentia; Muridae. The record is from RNAcentral.
GGGCUGCCGAAGGUCUGUCUCCUAGCCUUCGGGCCAGUGCCCGCCGAUCCUCCGGGAGCCAGGUCCGCGAUCUCCGGCGCCCGCCGUGGGCUCGAGAAAGCGCACAGCGCACUACUUGUCGCGGAGGGAUCCGGCCCCUGAGUUACCUGUUCUCCACUCGGAGCUGACCUCGGCCCAAGGGCCCGCAAGUCCGCCUCACCGAGAAGUAAUACAGGUUCGGAUCCGCGCCGCCGACCUCACAAUGGCGCGGGCGUCCAGCCACUGUCACGCAGCAUCCGGUGCGAUUAUUCGCCCAGAGCUUCACUGCUUAGGGGACCGCGGCGAGGCCCUUCUCCCUCUCGCUCAUUCAGAAGACGAGAAGGUCCCCGCACGACACAACCACGCUGUUUUAACAAUACCCAACUCUGCUCUUCCAAACUGCACACACUUAAAGGUGACAUGGCCACAGACUGUGGGUUGCAAUACUACGUUGCAAUUCUGCACUAGUUAUUUGAAAGCUUUCUUACAGUACUACAGCGAAACGACCGGUUACAAACCUUUCAUUUUCGUUCGAACACGGUACUCUUUAACCAAUGGAUAUUCUAUGAAUACUUGUAUUCAGUAUCUCUAGAUUUUUAAAAAACCAAAUGUAAAGACAUUACCAAAUAAGUGGUUCAUCAGUGAAAUAAUUUUGUUUUGCCUUUAAAUUUUAGCCUUUUUGGAAGGCACAUUAUUUGCAGUAUACACAGAUAUAAAUUUUGUACAUUAAAAUAGCCUGUAUAGCCUUUUUGUCGUUCUUUCAUGAAGCCCCUCCCACUCUGGAGGUUCUUUCACUUCUAUUAAUUUUAAGUCUGGUUAAAAAAAUAGUGCUUGAGGCCAGCCUGGUCUACAGAGUUAAAGCCAGGACAGCCAGGGUUAAAAGAGAAACCCUGUCUCAAAAAAAACAGAAAAAAAAGUACUUAAAUUAAACAUAAAAACAAUUAGCAUUUACAUUUGAAGAAUGCCUUUUCAUGUUUAUUACCAUGUACAUUACUAGGAACCAGAAGUCCAACCUUGUAAAAAAUUAAAAUUCAACAAGACAGGCCUUUAUUGUGAGGUUACUGUCUUUUCAUUAUAACUCAUUUUUUACAGCCAGCUAAUUUUCCAGAGGGAAUUACUGUUCCUAUCUUUAGUCAAUUUGGUUAAGAAUUCUCUGCCUUUAAAUAUAUAAAAAUGUGUAUGAUUUUAUUUUUCUGUGAGAGCAUGAAGGUUAGAGGACAACUUGUGGGCAUGCUAUUCUUUUACCUAGGAAUGGAACACAUUUCCACCCUGUGACAGGGUCUCAAGUAGCCUUAGAUAGCCUGGAACUCACCUGUAUAGAUCACAUUGACUGAAAUUUCGGAGAUUCCUCUGCCCCUCUAUUCUUGGGACUAAAGGUGUACAACACUGCCACCAGCAUGUCUUCAUA